AUGCUCACUUCAGCAGCACAUAUACUAAAACUAGAAUGAUACAGAGAACAUUAGCAUGACCCCUGCACAAGGAUGACAGACAACAUCCUAAAAAAAUUCAUAGAAAA
Small nuclear RNA from Leptonychotes weddellii (Weddell seal), 107 nucleotides. Lineage: Eukaryota; Metazoa; Chordata; Mammalia; Carnivora; Phocidae. The record is from RefSeq and is a predicted model, not a curated record.